RNAcentral lists this ribosomal RNA (419 nucleotides) under Flavobacterium lindanitolerans. RNAcentral describes it as "bacterial SSU rRNA". It matches the Rfam family "Bacterial small subunit ribosomal RNA", at positions 284 to 700 of the family's 1533-position model. Lineage: Bacteria; Pseudomonadati; Bacteroidota; Flavobacteriia; Flavobacteriales; Flavobacteriaceae. The record is from RNAcentral.
UAGGGGUCCUGAGAGGGAGAUCCCCCACACUGGUACUGAGACACGGACCAGACUCCUACGGGAGGCAGCAGUGAGGAAUAUUGGUCAAUGGUCGCAAGACUGAACCAGCCAUGCCGCGUGCAGGAUGACGGUCCUAUGGAUUGUAAACUGCUUUUGUACGGGAAGAAACACUCCUACGUGUAGGGGCUUGACGGUACCGUAAGAAUAAGGAUCGGCUAACUCCGUGCCAGCAGCCGCGGUAAUACGGAGGAUCCGAGCGUUAUCCGGAAUCAUUGGGUUUAAAGGGUCCGUAGGCGGCCCUGUAAGUCAGCGGUGAAAUCUCCCGGCUCAACCGGGAAACUGCCGUUGAUACUGCAGGGCUUGAAUUGCCGGGAAGUAACUAGAAUAUGUAGUGUAGCGGUGAAAUGCUUAGAUAUUAC